This 603-nucleotide long non-coding RNA is filed under the name Malus domestica (apple). RNAcentral describes it as "long non-coding RNA (MDOM_LNC010054)". The record is from RNAcentral. Lineage: Eukaryota; Viridiplantae; Streptophyta; Magnoliopsida; Rosales; Rosaceae.
AAUGACACUUGAUUUAAAAAACCCUAACCACAACAUUAGCCGUCACCUUCACCCACCUCACCAUUUUCUAUAUAAUAUAUAUAUAUAUAUAUAUAUAUAUAUCAAAUGACACUUGAUUUAAAGAACCCUAACCACAACAUUAGCCUUCACCUUCACCCACCCCACCAUUUUCUAUAUAUAUAUAUAUAUAUAUAUAUAUAUAUAUAUAUAUAUAUAUAUAUAUAUCAAAUGACACUUGAUUUAAAAAAUCCUAACCACAACAUUAGCCAUCACCUUCACCCACUCCACCAUUUUCUCUCAAAACGGCGAGGCGAUCUCUUUUCUCACUUUCUGCAACUUAUCCCAUUCUCCACUCUCACUCUCUGAUGAACCCACCGUCACUCCCUUCCUCCUCUUUUCAGCCAAGUGAGGUCUGUGCAGAACCCAGAACCCAUCUUCUGCAGAACCAAUCUGUCAAAAGUUGCAAAGACGAGUUGCAGAUGGUGAACGGCCGGUGAUGAGAUUCCUGCCGAUGGUGAAUCGGAAAUUGUAGAACCGCCUAGACCGCCGCCUAGGCGGCUGCCUAUUUCCUCCCCCUUUUGUGAACGCCCUGACCAAAAUCAC